RNAcentral lists this transfer RNA (75 nucleotides) under Alphaproteobacteria bacterium. RNAcentral describes it as "tRNA-Thr". It matches the Rfam family "tRNA". From Rfam's summary of the family: Transfer RNA (tRNA) molecules are approximately 80 nucleotides in length. Their secondary structure includes four short double-helical elements and three loops (D, anti-codon, and T loops). Further hydrogen bonds mediate the characteristic L-shaped molecular structure. tRNAs have two regions of fundamental functional importance: the anti-codon, which is responsible for specific mRNA codon recognition, and the 3' end, to which the tRNAs corresponding amino acid is attached (by aminoacyl-tRNA synthetases). tRNAs cope with the degeneracy of the genetic code in two manners: having more than one tRNA (with a specific anti-codon) for a particular amino acid; and 'wobble' base-pairing, i.e. permitting non-standard base-pairing at the 3rd anti-codon position. Lineage: Bacteria; Pseudomonadati; Pseudomonadota; Alphaproteobacteria. The record is from RNAcentral.
GCCCUCGUAGCUCAGGGGUAGAGCACUCCAUUGGUAAUGGAGAGGUCGACAGUUCAAAUCUGUCCGAGGGCACCA